AAGACCCUUUAAAAUAACCAAGGUUUUUUGCACUGAUAGCUCUGAGGAGUGAACGAGGACACUAAACAGUCACCAGGAGCCCAGCAAUCACUAUGGGAACUGGAGUAUGGGGUAGCCUAAGCCAUAUUGUGUACCAGCAGGAAGAGCAUUAUACAGUAAUCCCAACUGGAGCUGACAAAUGGCUCCCUGUGACGAAUGUGCUCAUUCAGUACUUGCUGUGGAUAGCUCUUUGCUUGAAAAGAAGGGUUGUUUCUUGAGAAGCUGGAGGUGAGAAAAGGCAAUUUUAAACACUGUCAUUUCCUGGUUGUCCCAGCUUAGCAAGGAGGCCAGCAAGAUGCCAUGCACUUUGAUGAAUGGGAGCUUCAGAGGACAACAAACAAGGUCACAGCUGUUUAAGUACUACUCUGCAAUAGGAAACUGCUUGAGGACAAGCACAAGGGGCUGUGAAGCUGAGGGAAAACAUAACCAGGAUCCAGUUAUAAAACCCCAUACCCCUCCAGAACACUAAAUCAAGGAACACCAGGAGGAACUGCUCAGGAAAUGAAGAAUUAAGCAGUGAACUGAAGCAGUCCCCAUUCUUCUCCACACUCCAGAAGAAUUGACAAUACCAACAGUUCAUGUAAAGUGUGCUGUACUACACUGACAUCUGCAAGGAGGCCAUAAUUCUUUGAUGUUGUUUCCUUUUAUGAAGCAUCUUUCUUUUCCUUAGACUAACUACCCCCUCCACACACACAUUGUUAAAUGAAAAUCUGGCAGCACAGGUUACCCUGAAGCAUUCUACCCUGAAACUGAAGACAAGCUGGAAGAUGCAAAGACUAGAGAACCUGAAUUUUUCUCCUCAGUUGGCAGCUGCUUUUUGCUCCUUUUAGGC
This is a long non-coding RNA of Passer domesticus (house sparrow), 871 nucleotides long. RefSeq lists it as uncharacterized. The transcript is spliced from 3 exons. NCBI's taxonomy places the organism in Eukaryota, Metazoa, Chordata, Aves, Passeriformes, Passeridae. The record is from RefSeq and is a predicted model, not a curated record.